CCUACGGGGGGCAGCAGUAGGGAAUCUUUCACAAUGGGCGAAAGCCUGAUGGAGCAACGCCGCGUGCAUGAUGAAGGCCUUCGGGUUGUAAACCGCUUUUAUAAGCGAGGAAUAUGAUGGUAACUUAUGAAUAAGGAUCGGCUAACUACGUGCCAGCAGCCGCGGUCAUACGUAGGAGCCGAGCAUUAUCCGGAAUGACUGGGUGUAAAGAGUUGCGUAGGUGGGAUAAUAAGUAGCUAGUGAAAUCUGGUGGGUCAACCAUUCAGACUAUUAGGUAAACUGUUAAGCUCGAGACCGUUAGGGGUAACUGGAAUUUCUAGUGUAGGAGUGAAAGCCGUAGAUAUUAGAAGGAACACCAAUAGCGUAGGCAGGUUACUGGGACGGUUCUGACACUGAGGCACGAAAGCGUAGGGAGCAAACGGGAUUAGAUACCCUUGUAGUC
This 442-nucleotide ribosomal RNA is filed under the name uncultured bacterium. Its description in RNAcentral is "partial 16S ribosomal RNA". It matches the Rfam family "Bacterial small subunit ribosomal RNA", at positions 338 to 795 of the family's 1533-position model. The record is from RNAcentral.